This 484-nucleotide long non-coding RNA is filed under the name Olea europaea (common olive). RNAcentral describes it as "long non-coding RNA (OEUR_LNC009428)". Lineage: Eukaryota; Viridiplantae; Streptophyta; Magnoliopsida; Lamiales; Oleaceae. The record is from RNAcentral.
CUCACCCACACCAUCUCUUCCCUUCCCAUGUUAUCUUGUCCCCCUCGCUUUAAGUGACAAACUCAAGUUUAUUAUGAAAAAUUAUAUUUUUUUAUUACAAAAUAUUCAAUAUUAAUUAGAAAACCAAGCCCAACUGGCGAAUUUAAUUUAAUAUUAUAUUUUAUUUUUGUAAGAUAAACUGAAAAGCACGUGUCAUUUCUUCCUGUGAAUACCGGUUUCACCGGAUCAUUUGCACAAUAUAUGUAGACCUUUCUAGGGUUUCAUCUCGUCCUUAAAUUAGCGCAACUCCCUCCCCUCUGUCUCCCUCUCCAAAAGCUGCUCAUGUAUUCAGCUCCUCACUCAGAAAUCACCUUCGUCGCCCUCUAUUAGGUAAAAUCUCUGUCUCUCCCCCCUGUAUAUAUGUGUGUGUUAUUGUAUUAGUGGGUCGAUGUGUUUGAUGUUAUUUUUAUAUACUCAUGAAUCAGAAAUUACGGUUUGUUUCCCC